GAGAACGCUGGCGGCAGGCCUAACACAUGCAAGUCGAAGCGCCCCCGCAAGGGACGGCGGACGGGUGAGUAACACGUGGGAACGUGCCCUUCGGUUCGGGAUAACUCAGGGAAACUUGAGCUAACACCGGAUACGCCCUUCGGGGGAAAGGUUACGCCGUUGGAGCGGCCCGCGUUGGAUUAGCUUGUUGGUGGGGUAAUGGCCCACCAAGGCUACGAUCCAUAGCUGGUCUGAGAGGAUGAUCAGCCACACUGGGACUGAGACACGGCCCAGACUCCUACGGGAGGCAGCAGUGGGGAAUCUUGCGCAAUGGGCGAAAGCCUGACGCAGCCAUGCCGCGUGAAUGAUGAAGGUCUUAGGAUUGUAAAAUUCUUUCAGCGGGGACGAUAAUGACGGUACCCGCAGAAGAAGCCCCGGCAAAUUCGUGC
RNAcentral lists this ribosomal RNA (428 nucleotides) under uncultured bacterium. RNAcentral describes it as "bacterial SSU rRNA". It matches the Rfam family "Bacterial small subunit ribosomal RNA", at positions 31 to 508 of the family's 1533-position model. The record is from RNAcentral.